GCUUACGGCCAUACCACCCUGAAUGCGCCCGAUCUCGCUGAUCUCGGAAGCUAAGCAGGGUCAGGCCUGGUUAGUACUUGGAUGGGAGACCGCCUAGGAAUACCAGGUGCUGUAAGCU
Molecule: ribosomal RNA, 118 nt
Filed under: Larimichthys crocea (large yellow croaker)
Lineage: Eukaryota; Metazoa; Chordata; Actinopteri; Sciaenidae
Source: RNAcentral